RNAcentral lists this ribosomal RNA (412 nucleotides) under uncultured bacterium. RNAcentral's name for it is "bacterial SSU rRNA". It matches the Rfam family "Bacterial small subunit ribosomal RNA", at positions 917 to 1333 of the family's 1533-position model. The record is from RNAcentral.
GGACCCGCACAAGCGGUGGAUGAUGUGGAUUAAUUCGAUGCAACGCGAAAAACCUUACCUACCCUUGACAUGUCAGGAAUUUUGCAGAGAUGCGAAAGUGCUCGAAAGAGAACCUGAACACAGGUGCUGCAUGGCUGUCGUCAGCUCGUGUCGUGAGAUGUUGGGUUAAGUCCCGCAACGAGCGCAACCCUUGUCAUUAGUUGCUACGCAAGGGCACUCUAAUGAGACUGCCGGUGACAAACCGGAGGAAGGUGGGGACGACGUCAAGUCCUCAUGGCCCUUAUGGGUAGGGCUUCACACGUCAUACAAUGGUUGGUACAGAGGGUUGCGAACCCGCGAGGGGGAGCUAAUCCCAAAAAACGUCUCGUAGUCCGGAUUGGAGUCUGCAACUCGACUCCAUGAAGUCGGAAUC